RNAcentral lists this ribosomal RNA (321 nucleotides) under uncultured bacterium. RNAcentral's name for it is "bacterial SSU rRNA". It matches the Rfam family "Bacterial small subunit ribosomal RNA", at positions 28 to 334 of the family's 1533-position model. The record is from RNAcentral.
GAUGAACGCUAGCGACAGGCUUAACACAUGCAAGUCGAGGGGCAGCGGGGCGGCAGGCUUGCCUGCCGUUGCCGGCGACCGGCGCACGGGUGAGUAACACGUAUGCAACCUGCCCGUGGCAGGGGGAUAAGCGGGGGAAACCCCGUCUAAUACCGCGUAACGCGGCCUAGGGACAUCCCAAGGCCGCCAAAGGGAGCAAUCCCGGCCACGGAUGGGCAUGCGGCGCAGUAGCUAGGCGGCGGGGUAACGGCCCACCGAGGCGACGAUGCGUAGGGGUUCUGAGAGGAAGACCCCCCACACUGGUACUGAGACACGGACCAG